RNAcentral lists this small nuclear RNA (107 nucleotides) under Bos mutus (wild yak). The record is from RNAcentral. Lineage: Eukaryota; Metazoa; Chordata; Mammalia; Artiodactyla; Bovidae.
GUGCUCGCUUCAGCAGCACAUAUACUAAAAUUGGAACGAUACAGAGAAGAUUAGCAUGGCCCCUGCACAAGGAUGACACACAAAUUCGUGAAGUGUUCCAUAUUUUU